Folsomia candida is the source of this 1522-nucleotide long non-coding RNA. RefSeq lists it as uncharacterized. The transcript is spliced from 3 exons. Lineage: Eukaryota; Metazoa; Arthropoda; Collembola; Entomobryomorpha; Isotomidae. The record is from RefSeq and is a predicted model, not a curated record.
CGUGACAGGAGAUGCUCAAAUUAAAUCAUGUUGUCCGGAACAACAAUAUUUUUUAAAUCAUUAAGCAAAUUAGAGCUACACUACACACAUGUGUAAAUACCUAUUUAAUACGCCAGUCAGACAUAAGUAUUUAAGUCGAAGCAAGUUUCUAAAUAUGCAAAAUGAAAAUCAAAUUUAUAUAACGUGCGUGUGGUAUGCCAAGGGAGUUUAUACAUAACUCUCUCAUGACAUUUAUUGGCAUAUACAAAAGUUUAAAAAACUUUUGUAUAUACUACUCAUGUCACGUGACAUCUGACCAUCUACCCCCCCCCCGUGAUAAUUGGUGACAAAUUUCAGACCCCCUCCCCCCCUCUAAUCGAUCACGUGAUUUAUGGACGUUCCCAUAGAAUUUUAAGGUGAUUUACAUUAUUCGAUAGGACCACCUCGUAUAUGAUGGGGAGAAGAAUUUUCAGAAAUUUUCGAAAUUUUUAGAACCUGAUUUAAUAAAGGUUUCCUUCUUCAUUUCAAUUCACUACUAAAGACUAGAGACUUGCACGGCAAUUAACCUAUGUUUUAGCAUUUUUAAGAGGAAUGGAAAUACAAAAAUAUAAUUUAUGAUGUUACACGUUUCCAAAAAUAAUUUAGAGAAUUUUAACGUGAUUUAGAUUAUUCGAGGGGACCACGUCUUCUCAAAAUUUUUAUGAGACAGAAGAAUUUUCAGAAAUUCUCAAAACCACGAAUUUAUUUAACCACUAGAAUAAUACUGAUUUCAGCUUCAUUCCUAUACACUGAAACCUAUAUUUUAAAAUUUUUUAUCGAAAAUGGAUAUAUGUAAUUUACGACGUAAAACAUUUACAAAAAUAGUUAAUAGAAUUUUAAAGUGAUUUAAAUUAUCUGAUCGGACCACCUCGUACGGUGGGGAGAAGAAUUUUCAGAAAUUUUCGAAAUUUUUAAGUUUGAUUUAAAAAUACAGUUAUCUGCUUCAUUCCAGUACACUGCGAGCGAUAAAAACGCAAUUAACCUAUAUUUUAACAUUUUUAAGAGGAAUGGAAAUACAAAAAUAUAAUUUAUGAUGCUACACGUUUCCAAAAAUAAUUUAGAGUUUAUAUUUUAAUCUGAAUUUGAUUAUCCGAUGGGACCACCUCUUCUCAAAGUUUUUUAUGGGAUAGAAGAAUUUUCAGAAAUUUUCAAAAUUAUGAAUAACUUUAAAAUAAUACUGUUUUCAGCAUCAUUUCGAUACACUGCGGAGUUGAAUUUUGAGGGAUUGUCCGAUGGGGCCACCUCGCAAAAUGGAGGAGUAGAAAUUUCAGAUAUAGAUAUCAUUUAAUAUUUUAAAAUAUAGAAAUUUUAAAAUUUUUAGAAAAAAAAUCUAAAUAAAAAUAUAUUCUUUAAGACACUUAAAACAUUUCCAAAAAUCACUUAGAGUUGGAUUUAAAUCUGAUUUUGCUUAUCCGAUGAGACCAAGAAGUAUUCUCAAAAAUUUUUAUUAAAAAUGAUUUUGGGACGGACCUCAUUUUCUCCAAAUUUUUUAUGGGAUAGGAAG